RNAcentral lists this ribosomal RNA (117 nucleotides) under Myotis davidii. Lineage: Eukaryota; Metazoa; Chordata; Mammalia; Chiroptera; Vespertilionidae. The record is from RNAcentral.
GUCUACGGCCAUACUACCCUGAACGCGCCCGAUCUCGUCUGAUCUUGGAAGCUAAGCAGGGUCGGGCCUGGUUAGUACUUGGAUGGGAGAAGUUAAGAUGUCUCCCGCCAGUAGGUC